GGCGAACGCUGGCGGCGUGCUUAACACAUGCAAGUCGAACGGAAAGGCCCUGCUUUUGUGGGGUGCUCGAGUGGCGAACGGGUGAGUAACACGUGAGUAACCUGCCCUUGACUUUGGGAUAACUUCAGGAAACUGGGGCUAAUACCGGAUAGGAGCUCCUGCUGCAUGGUGGGGGUUGGAAAGUUUCGGCGGUUGGGGAUGGACUCGCGGCUUAUCAGCUUGUUGGUGGGGUAGUGGCUUACCAAGGCUUUGACGGGUAGCCGGCCUGAGAGGGUGACCGGCCACAUUGGGACUGAGAUACGGCACAGACUCCUACGGGAGGCAGCAGUGGGGAAUAUUGCACAAUGGGCGGAAGCCUGAUGCAGCAACGCCGCGUGCGGGAUGACGGCCUUCGGGUUGUAAACCGCUUUCGCCUGUGACGAAGCGUGAGUGACGGUAAUGGGUAAAGAAGCACCGGCUAACUACGUG
This 468-nucleotide ribosomal RNA is filed under the name uncultured bacterium. RNAcentral describes it as "partial 16S ribosomal RNA". It matches the Rfam family "Bacterial small subunit ribosomal RNA", at positions 28 to 507 of the family's 1533-position model. The record is from RNAcentral.